RNAcentral lists this ribosomal RNA (468 nucleotides) under uncultured bacterium. Its description in RNAcentral is "partial 16S ribosomal RNA". It matches the Rfam family "Bacterial small subunit ribosomal RNA", at positions 28 to 507 of the family's 1533-position model. The record is from RNAcentral.
GACGAACGCUGGCGGCGUGCUUAACACAUGCAAGUCGAACGGAAAGGCCCUGCUUUUGUGGGGUGCUCGAGUGGCGAACGGGUGAGUAACACGUGAGUAACCUGCCCUUGACUUUGGGAUAACGUCAGGAAACUGGGGCUAAUACCGGAUAGGAGCUCCUGCUGCAUGGUGGGGGUUGGAAAGUUUCGGCGGUUGGGGAUGGACUCGCGGCUUAUCAGCUUGUUGGUGGGGUAGUGGCUUACCAAGGCUUUGACGGGUAGCCGGCCUGAGAGGGUGACCGGCCACAUUGGGACUGAGGUACGGCCCAGACUCCUACGGGAGGCAGCAGUGGGGAAUAUUGCACUAUGGGCCGAAGCCUGAUGCAGCAACGCCGCGUGCCGGAUGGCGGCCUUCGGGUUGUAAUCCGCUUUCGCCUGUGACGAAGCGUGCGUGACGGUAAUGGGUAAAGACGCACCGGCUAACUACGUG